Oncorhynchus mykiss (rainbow trout) is the source of this 3931-nucleotide non-coding RNA. The record is from RefSeq and is a predicted model, not a curated record. Lineage: Eukaryota; Metazoa; Chordata; Actinopteri; Salmoniformes; Salmonidae.
UUCUCUCUCAUAACAGGCCUUUUUUUUUAAAAUCCUAUUCACAUUUACCCUCCACUAGACCCCUGGUUUCACAAGGUGGAAUAAAAUGUACUGAUAAUAAGUGAUUUCAGGUUUGUACUGCUGUGAAGACGUAGGCCGUUACAUCAAGAUUGAUCUCUUUGCAAAAAGCCUCAAGAAAACUCAUAAUAAACUUGGGUAACUGAUGUUCAUAUCUUAAAGGACAAAUCCCUAUAAGCUUUUGUCAGGAAUCAGGAUUAGAUUAAUAAAGCCAACGCAACCUCAUGUUUUACAAAUGGUAGGCUACCUUAUGGUAGGACUAGUUAUAAAAUUACAUUAUAGGCCGACACUGUACUAUAGGCCUAUUUCUUUGCCGGAUUAUGGCCUGGUCAUGGAUAAAAAGCACCUGUUCAAAAUGGGGUAAAGCUGAGGGAACAUAAGGCGGUCCCCAGGAUUUCAGCUCCCUGUGUUAGCUGUUGUAAUCCUCUUUCUGCAUUUAUUUGUAGAUAGACUCACCCCAACAGGGAGUUAUGAGUUGGGGGGUAUUAUCAAAAUGUCUUCUUACUGCUUUUGAGGGAGCAGCAGAAAAGUGUAUCCAAGUUGGGGUACCCCUUGCUAGAAUUGUUAGUUGUAGCAGCAGUAGUAGCCAUGUAAUGGCAGCAGUGUUGUAGUCAAGUCACUAAAGCAUAAAUCCGAGUCAAUACACAAGACCCUAUGGCUAACUCUGAAUUGAGUCAAAGUCGUCAAUGUCUGAGUCGUGUCACAAGUCCCUGCGUUUGAAUCCCGGUCCAAGAUUUCAAGUCUAAGACAAUGGGUCCAUAUUAACUUAAUAUUAAGUUGUUAACCCAGUCAGAUAGUGGCGGGGGGAAUUUGAUCAAUUAUUUUUUCAAUUUAUGUGCCAACAAAUGUUUAUAUGCUACAGGCUGACCAGAUAACAUGAUUGAACAUGGUGUGAGUGCACAGCUUCUCUAUCUUUGAUGUAAUCUAAACAGAAACUGUAAGACACAGACAAACACAGAUACACUUUUAUAAACGAUACUGAUGUCAGAUAUUAGUGGCUAAUGUUCACAUUCUGUGGAGGUCAACUGCUCCUAAAUCUGUGUGUACGUGGUUUGGUUUGAAGCUUCUCUAACCAGCUCUGUGUUGUUGUCCUCUGGAAACACCUCUUUUCAGCGCUGCAGUCGGACAUAGACCGUCUGGCCUGAGCAGGAGGAGAGCGGGGCCUUUGGUCCUGGAUGUUUGACCUCUGGAGAGGAUUGGCCUGGAUCCUUCUAACCAGCUCUGUGUUGUUUGUCCUCUGGAAACACCUCUGGUUGUCAGUGCUGUGAUAGAAGAUUAGCGCAGCAGCUGUGGCAGACAGAUUCUGCUAGUGAGCGUAAACUGAGAGCACACGGCUGAUUAACCCCUUCACUGCCGGCCAGAGAAAUGUAUGCAAAUGUUUUCCAGUUUAUGCAAAUACUUGCACCAUGACGUGACCAGAAGGCCAUGUUUCAGUUAUGGUGACGCACGAUCACAUGUAGCCUAACUAACCUAACCUUCUUUCUUGAACCAGUUCUAGAACAAUUGAUACAGUCAUACUGCUAAGUCAUAGCUUCUCAUGCAUGUUUCUAGAGAGGAACUGGGUACGAUGCAUGACUGAUCUUACACUGCAAGUUGAGCCUUUGCACUGCCCCCAUAUAAAUCUCUACAAAAAUGUGGUAACACCUCUUAAACGUGAUGGAUAUCUUUAUAAUGCUAGUAAGCUUUGGUGGAGAGAAUACGUUUUGGAAUUAACCUUAGACAACAAUACAUAAGUUGCCAAAAAUUAUUUAUUAUGAUGGACUGUGAAAAACCCAAGGGAUCAUCAUCUAUUAAUGUACAGUGUGAGAGCAGAUAUGACAUUUUCUGUCAUUUAGAUAGUUGAGGCUGUGUGUAAGUUCAGAUGGUGUUCAAGGUACAAUGUGUUCAACCUUUCGUUACAGACCUUUAGUGCCCCCCUGUGGAAUAUCACGUGUAUCACAUGGGGAUCAACAUUUGUUUGUGAGGGUUGAAAAAACAACAUCAUGCUGAGGAAGCUUUAUUCAAAUGACAGAGGAUGAGACACGAGGUGUCGUACAGUGUCAGGCUUCAGAUCAAAAGAAAAACGAUACAGUCACUGCCUCGCAGUCCAACCAACGGUAUUUUAAACUAAGCACAGUUUGAAGGCUAAGCAAAAGUCAUUCAUAUUUCACAAAUGUAAGGCAACACUACACAUAUUCCAGAUAAAGGGGUCAUUUUUAUUUGUAUAAAUGGAAGAUUUAUAUAAGCAUUGUGUUAUGUGGCACUAUCCAGGUCUUUCUUGCAAAAGUGGGUUAUUUUGGCAAGAGAGACCUGGUUACCGUGUAACCCAGCAGUUAUAUUAAAUCUGCAGCUGUCUGCUUCCCUUACAUGUGCAAUUUGAGACAGGGCUUCUUGACUCAAGCGAAGAAACCUUUGGUCAAAUAUUAUGAAAAACAAGCCUAUUGGUCAGAAAAUGUUGUUCAGCAUUCUCGCAUUUAAUAAACACUGUGUUUGGAUAGAUCCUCAUUUCCAAUGCUGUAGUACAAAUAGUUUCACCUUAGAAUUUGUCAGUAUUGCUAUACAUUGAUAACAUGAAGAAUUAUGACACUAAGAUGUGCCACCUUCGGAAUAAUACAAAUUUGAAUUGGAACUUCACUUAUAUUAGUCCGGUCAGCACUUACCUCUUCUCUUUGGUCAACAAAUCAACCAAUCCAAUGAAGAAAUAAACAUUCUACUAAAAGGGUAUACUUCAUAGCUCACAAGAAACCAACAACACACACCACAGAUCAUUUUCAACUGCAAUAAAACUGUAUAGAAACAAUUCUUUGGAACACGGUGAUGAUAAAUUAACAUUUUCCUGACUAGAAUAACAAGUGAAUUAAUAUUAAUCUCUAGUUGAUACUGAGGGACAUAUUCUAUCAUCACACCAGUGUACUCGAUACUCUGGAUACUCCUAAGGGGUUGAAGCAGUCCAUCUUCAGGAAGAGAACACUAUUCGAGAAGCUCCACACCCCAGGGAUGAAAGUACUUUGACAGCUUGUGGCUCCUGUUGGGUCUCAUAGGAAACGUCUGUUCCAACAGUACUUCCGACAGUAGCUGCUGCUGCUCAUGCAGAACAGGCUGGAUCGGUGGGCACUGGAUCAUUUCUGUCACCUGCCCUUUGUGGUUUGGGGUUGAAAGGGCAGUGGAGGAACUAGGAUGGCAGGCAUGGCAGACGCUGGGAUGAUGCUGGCUGAUCCUCUCUGGUUCAUGGGAGGCCAUGAGGUCUCAAUAGGGCUCCUGAUUGGCGCAGCGAAAGAGCCUCUUCUUCCACCUCCAAGAUCGAGGGCAGUGAUGGAGAGACACACACUGGGAAGAAAGGCCCAGACUUAAAGUUAACGUCCCAGUGAAUGGGCUUCACUCUCUUCCUGCGCCCUCGUUGGCUAUUCUCCCAUUCCCGCUCGGCCUUAGCACGGGAGGCGGGCAUGUGCCCCCACUUGAUAGGCUGUUCUGCCAGUGGGACCAAGGGGGUCAAGAGGAUUUCAACGGGGCACUUCUCACCCGCCUGCCGAAUGGGACCAAAAUAUUGUGGGAUUAGCGUUGACUCAAAACGAAUGCACGACAAGAAAACACACACAACUACUACUAUUAUAGUAUAGAAGUCAAAAUACCUGUAGCUAUGUUCCUACUUGGACAUAAUCAAAAACAUUGACACCACAGUGAUUCUCCUUCUAAGAGGAUGCUAUAAUAAAUAGAUCAUUGCGAUUUUCAGAUUUAUUUGAGUACUGGGAAUUUUUUUGUCGUGCAUAUAUGCUGAUAAAUUGAAUAUGAAACUAAAAUCAUGAAUUUUUUUCAAAGGCGUCUGUGUGGCGUCAGGUUUUCAGGUUUUGAUUUGUUAAAAAAGUUUGAAAUAUCCAAUAAAUGUCGUUCCACUUCA